ACGGCGGGCGCGGGGGACAGGCUUCCUGCACGAUUUAACCCGGGAGCGUCGCUCGUGUGAGGCGCAGGCGGCCGCCGGCGUGCGUGUAGGCCCUUGCUCGCCCGGCAGCCUCCAACUGCCCAGUGGCCAUGAUAGUGUUUGUCAGGUUCAACUCCAGCCAUGGUUUCCCAGUGGAGGUCGAUUCUGACACCAGCAUCUUCCAGCUCAAGGAGGUGGUUGCUAAGCAACAGGGGGUUCCAGCUGACCAGUUGCGUGUGAUUUUCGCAGGGAAGGAGCUGAGGAAUGACUUGACAGUGCGGAGCUGUGACCUGGAUCAGCAGAGCAUCGUUCACAUUGUGCUGAGACCCCAGAGAAAAGUCCCAGAAAGGAGCACAGCUGGAGGGGACAGCCCGCAGAACACUGCGGGGGGCUCUGAGAGGGAGCCUGAGAGCCUAACUCGUGUGGACCUCAGCAGCUCCGUCCUCCCAGCCGACUCAGUGGGUCUGGCUAUUAUUCUGAAGGAUGACAACGAGAAUGGUAGCCCACCAGCUGGAAGGCCAGCAGGCAGACCAACCUACAACAGCUUUUUUGUCUACUGCAAAGGCCCCUGUCAAGGAGUGGAGCCAGGAAAGCUCAGGGUACGGUGCAGCACCUGCCAACAAGCGACGCUCACCUUGGCCCAGGGUCCUUCUCGCUGGGAAGAUGUCUUAAUCCCAAACCAGAUGAGUGGUGAAUGCCAGUCUCCAAACUGUCCUGGGACUAGAGCAGAAUUUUUCUUUAAAUGUGGAGCACACCCGACCUCUGACAAGGAAACAUCAGUAGCUUUGAACCUGAUCACAACAAAUAGUCGAGACAUCACCUGCAUAACAUGUAUGGACAUCAGAAGCCCGGUCCUGGUUUUCCAGUGCAACUACCGCCACGUGAUUUGCUUAGACUGUUUCCACCUCUACUGUGUGACGAGACUCAACGAUCGGCAGUUUGUCCACGACCCUCAGCUUGGUUACUCUCUACCUUGUGUGGCUGGCUGCCCCAACUCCUUGAUUAAAGAGCUCCAUCACUUCAGGAUUCUUGGAGAAGAGCAGUACAACCGGUACCAGCAAUAUGGCGCCGAAGAGUGCGUGCUGCAGAUGGGGGGCGUGCUGUGCCCCAGCCCGGGCUGCGGAGCAGGGCUGCUUCCUGAGCCCAGCCAGAGGAAGGUCACCUGCGAAGCGGGCAGCGGCCUGGGCUGCGGGUUCGUCUUUUGCCGGGAGUGUAAGGAACCGUACCACGAAGGUGAAUGCAGUGCCCUGUUCGAAGCCUCAGGAACAGUUACUCAGGCCUACCGAGUUGAUGAGAAGACGGCAGAGCGGGCUCGGUGGGAGCGCGCCUCCAAAGAAACGAUCAAGAAGACUUCUAAACCCUGUCCCCGUUGCCACGUGCCGGUGGAAAAACAUGGCGUAUUCCUGAGUCCCGGCCGUCCUGUCCUCUGGACGUGUUCUACGGUGGGCGUUUGUGGUUUGGCGGAGGAGCGCCCACCCAGCAUGGACCUCAUCGCAUUGCUGAAGUCUCAGUUCCUGUGCCAUCUCAUCUUCUGUUACGUGUUUAUCGCCUCGGGGCUCAUCAUCAACACCAUUCAGCUCUUCACUCUCCUCCUCUGGCCAAUUAACAAGCAACUUUUCCGGAAGAUCAACUGCCGGCUGUCCUACUGCAUCUCCAGCCAGCUGGUGAUGCUGCUGGAAUGGUGGUCGGGCACGGAGUGCAUCAUCCACACGGACCCCCGGGCCUACCCCAAGUACGGGAAGGAAAACGCCAUCGUUGUUCUGAACCACAAGUUUGAGAUCGACUUUCUCUGCGGUUGGAGCCUGGCCGAGCGCUUCGGGGUCUUAGGGGGCUCCAAGGUCCUGGCCAAGAAGGAGCUGGCCUACGUCCCCAUAAUCGGCUGGAUGUGGUACUUCACGGAGAUGGUCUUCUGCACGCGCAAGUGGGAGCAGGACCGCAAGACCGUCUCUGAGAGCCUGCUGCACCUGCGGGACUACCCCGAGAAGUACUUUUUCCUGAUUCACUGCGAGGGCACGCGGUUCACAGAGAAGAAGCACCAGAUAAGCAUGCAGGUGGCCCAGGCCAAGGGGCUGCCCAGCCUCAAGCACCACCUGCUGCCUCGCACCAAGGGCUUCGCCAUCACCGUGAGGAGUUUGAGAAAUGUAGUUUCAGCUGUAUAUGACUGUACACUCAAUUUCAGAAAUAAUGAAAAUCCAACACUGCUGGGAGUCCUAAAUGGAAAGAAAUAUCACGCAGAUUUAUACGUUAGGCGGAUCCCUUUAGGAGAAGUCCCAGAAGAUGAGGACAGGUGCGCGGCCUGGCUGCACAAGCUCUACCAGGAGAAGGACGCCCUCCAGGAGGAGUACUCCCGCACGGGCACCUUCCCCGGGACGCCCAUGGUGCCCCCGCGGCGGCCCUGGACGCUCGUCAACUGGCUGUUCUGGGCCUCGCUGCUGCUCUACCCGUUCUUCCGCUUCCUCGUCAACAUGGUCCGCAGCGGCUCCUCCCUGACGUUGGCCAGCUUCGUCCUCGUCUUCUUCGUGGCUUCCGUGGGGGUCCGAUGGAUGAUUGGUGUCACGGAAAUCGACAAGGGCUCCGCCUACGGCAACAUGGACAGCAAGCAGAAACACGGCGACUGACCCAGGACGCACCACCGUCCACAGGGGACCUUGGAGGACUGGUGGAUGCUGCCAUCAUCCUUGGAGGGACCCAGUGAUGAAGCUGGCAAGGCGAUUCUAGACCCUAAAGGAACUCCUAACCCAGCGCCCACCUUCAGCACACUUGAUUGUACCCCUUCUGUUGAGGAACACAUGAGUGACAAGGACAGACCUCUGUAUCAGAUAAUGUGUUGGCUCUGAAGCUGAUAACCAUUAAAAGACAAUAUAACUGAGCUUUCCUAAAAUAAACCAUUUAUUGAAAAAAGAACCUUUUUCUUAAAUUUCAUUAAUCAGCCUUUUGCAUAACAAACCUGUGGCUUGCCAACAACAACAACAACAGGUAAGGUUUCACAGUCAGUGCACUCGACAAACAAGAGAUUAACAAGGCCCAGGACGCCUGAUAACACUACAACUGCUUUUGAACCUAGAAAGGUCAAAAAUACUACACUGAUGUCACGGUUCUCAGUCACCCGAGAAAUGGAGGUGACGGAGGUGAUGGUCCGUGUACAGUAGUAAUGGCACUUAACAUGCAGCUUCUUUACCUCGUGGACACCAUCACUCAGGAGGGCCCCGUGCCACGUCGAACAAACAGGAGCAGCAGGAGAAGUGACGCUUGUCACCUGUGCAGUCUUCAGUCUUGGAAGGUUAAAAAGGCUUAUACUGCUUCUCAGCACAGUCUUUAUGUAAAUAUUACAUACAGUAGUGAUUAAGAGAAUUUUCCGAGUACACACACUACUAGGCCACAGACUGAUUAGCUUCAUUCUUCAUCUGUGCAAACCUGUGAGGAAGGCAGGAGAGAGCUGAACCCUAUUCACGCCACAUGUAAGAUUUACAGGUAAGUCAUAAUCAGUGCAUCCUGAUGCUCCCAGCACUGUGCCUGGCACAGAGCAAAGCCGUAAUCAAUGCAAUGAAAUGUCAGUGCUAAGUUACUGCUCUAUGAAUUGACUAUUGAAAGCAUUUUUAAGAAUGUAUUUGUGGGGCUUCCCUGGUGGCGCAGUGGUUGAGAGUCCGCCUGCCGAUGCAGGGGACA
This is an RNA transcript of Globicephala melas (long-finned pilot whale), 3684 nucleotides long. It is a transcript of the gene named 1-acylglycerol-3-phosphate O-acyltransferase 4, with no coding region annotated. The record is from RefSeq and is a predicted model, not a curated record. Lineage: Eukaryota; Metazoa; Chordata; Mammalia; Artiodactyla; Delphinidae.